GCCGCGGUAGCUCAAUUGGUAGAGCGUCGCACGCGAAAUGCGAAGGUUGUGGGUUCGGUUCCCACCUGCGGCA
Molecule: transfer RNA, 73 nt
Filed under: Dermacentor andersoni
Lineage: Eukaryota; Metazoa; Arthropoda; Arachnida; Ixodida; Ixodidae
Description: transfer RNA serine (anticodon CGA)
Rfam family: tRNA
About the family: Transfer RNA (tRNA) molecules are approximately 80 nucleotides in length. Their secondary structure includes four short double-helical elements and three loops (D, anti-codon, and T loops). Further hydrogen bonds mediate the characteristic L-shaped molecular structure. tRNAs have two regions of fundamental functional importance: the anti-codon, which is responsible for specific mRNA codon recognition, and the 3' end, to which the tRNAs corresponding amino acid is attached (by aminoacyl-tRNA synthetases). tRNAs cope with the degeneracy of the genetic code in two manners: having more than one tRNA (with a specific anti-codon) for a particular amino acid; and 'wobble' base-pairing, i.e. permitting non-standard base-pairing at the 3rd anti-codon position.
Source: RNAcentral